Molecule: non-coding RNA, 88 nt
Filed under: Rhodocyclales bacterium
Lineage: Bacteria; Pseudomonadati; Pseudomonadota; Betaproteobacteria; Rhodocyclales
Description: Glycine sequence
Rfam family: Glycine riboswitch aptamer
About the family: This family represents the bacterial glycine riboswitch. Glycine riboswitches usually consist of two metabolite-binding aptamers domains with similar structures in tandem.
Source: RNAcentral
CCCCGAUCGUCGGGAGAGAGUGAUUCAAUUCACCGCCGAAGGCGCAACCGCCCGGGAACCGCUCAGGCAAAAGGGCCGACGACGCAGG